RNAcentral lists this ribosomal RNA (2829 nucleotides) under Saccharicrinis carchari. RNAcentral's name for it is "23S rRNA. Bacterial LSU". It matches the Rfam family "Bacterial large subunit ribosomal RNA". Lineage: Bacteria; Pseudomonadati; Bacteroidota; Bacteroidia; Marinilabiliales; Marinilabiliaceae. The record is from RNAcentral.
AACAAGAAAGUAAGCAAGGGCGCACGGAGGAUGCCUAGGCUUUCAGAGGCGAAGAAAGACGUGAUAAGCUGCGAUAAGCUUCGGGUAGUGGCAAAUACACUUUGAUCCGGAGAUUUCUGAAUGGGGCAACCCGGCUAUGUGAAGCAUAGUCAUUCUGUAUUUAUACGGAAGGCAAACCCAGGGAACUGAAACAUCUAAGUACCUGGAGGAGAAGAAAAUAAUAAUGAUUCCCCUAGUAGCGGCGAGCGAACGGGGAUUAGCCCAAACCUACUUUGUUUAGGCAAAGUAGGGGUUGUAGGACCAUAAUAUGACAAUAAAAAAGAAGUGGAACGUUUUGGAAAGAACGAUCAUAGAGGGUGACAAUCCCGUACACGUAAUUUUUUGUUUGAUAGUGGUAUCCUGAGUAAGACGGGACACGAGAAAUCCUGUUUGAAUCUGCCGGGCCCAUCCGGUAAGGCUAAAUACUCCUGAAAGACCGAUAGUGAACCAGUACCGUGAGGGAAAGGUGAAAAGUACCCCGAACAGGGGAGUGAAAAAGUACCUGAAACCGUGCGCUUACAAGCGGUCGGAGCUGCAUUUAUGUGGUGACGGCGUGCCUUUUGCAUAAUGAGCCUACGAGUUAGUCGUAGUUGGCAAGGUUAAGCCUUUAAGGGGCGGAGCCGAAGCGAAAGCGAGUCUGAACAGGGCGAACAAAGUCAGCUGCGCUAGACGCGAAACCAGGUGAUCUACCCAUGGUCAGGUUGAAGUUCCGGUAACACGGAAUGGAGGACCGAACCGCCAGACGUUGAAAAGUCUUCGGAUGAACUGUGGGUAGGGGUGAAAGGCCAAUCAAACCUGGAAAUAGCUCGUACUCCCCGAAAUGCAUUUAGGUGCAGCCUUGUUUUUACUCUUACAGAGGUAGAGCUACUGAUUGGACGAGAGGGCUUCACCGCCUAUCAACUCCUGAUAAACUCCGAAUGCUGUAAGAUAAUUAAACAGGAGUGAGGGCAUGGGUGCUAAGGUCCAUGUCCGAAAGGGAAAGAACCCGGACCAUCGGCUAAGGUCCCCAAAUAUAUGCUAAGUUGAACAAACGCGGUUCGAUUGCAGAGACAGCUAGGAUGUUGGCUUGGAAGCAGCCAUUCAUUUAAAGAGUGCGUAACAGCUCACUAGUCGAGCGAUCGAGCAUGGAUAAUAAUCGGGCAUAAGCAUAUUACCGAAGCUAUGGAUGGCCCCUCUUGCAAAAGGGGGGCUGUGGUAGGGGAGCAUUCCAUAUGCCUUGAAGCGUUGCGGCGAUGCAGCGUGGAGCGUAUGGAAAAGCAAAUGUAGGCAUAAGUAACGAUAAUGCGGGCGAGAAACCCGCACGCCGAAAGACUCAGGUUUCCUGAUCAACGCUAAUCGGAUCAGGGUUAGUCGGGACCUAACGCGUACCCGAAAGGGGAAGUGGAUGGAUAGCAGGUCAAUAUUCCUGCACCUCCCAUGCAAUAAAAGUGACGUAUAUCAAAUACUACUGGGCGCUGACGGAAUAGCGCGCUGAGCCUAGGCUUCGGCCAAAGCGAAGUAGGGUAUGAUGUACCAAGAAAAGCGAGCAUGGGAGCCCGUACCGUAAACGGACACACGUAGUUGGGUUGAGUAUACUGAGGCGCUCGAGUGAUUCAUGGCUAAGGAACUCGGCAAAUUAGCCCCGUAACUUCGGGAGAAGGGGCGCCCUUGUAGCGAUAUGAGGGCCGCAGAGAAAUGGCGCAUGCGACUGUUUAUCAAAAACACAUGGCUUUGCAAAAUCGAAAGAUGACGUAUAAGGCCUGACACCUGCCCGGUGCUGGAAGGUUAAGAGGAGAGGUUAGCUUCGGCGACGCUUUGAAUUGAAGCCCCAGUAAACGGCGGCCGUAACUAUAACGGUCCUAAGGUAGCGAAAUUCCUUGUCGGGUAAGUUCCGACCUGCACGAAUGGUGUAACGAUGUGCGCACUGUCUCAGCCAUGAGCUCGGUGAAAUUGUAGUAUCGGUGAAGAUGCCGAUUACCCGCAACGGGACGGAAAGACCCCGUGAACCUUUACUGCAACUUAACGUUGCUCGUGGGUAAAUGAUGUGUAGGAUAGGACGGAGACUUUGAUGCUGCUUCGCCAGGAGUAGUUUAGUCGCCCUUGAAAUACGUCCCUUUAUUUAUCUGUGGGCUAACCCGAAUCACUUCGGGGACACCGUUUGGUGGGUAGUUUGACUGGGGUGGUCGCCUCCAAAAGAGUAACGGAGGCUUUCAAAGGUUUCCUCAGGACGAUUGGUAACCGUCCGUAGAGUGUAAUGGCACAAGGAAGCUUGACUGUGAGGCCGACAAGCCGACCAGGUACGAAAGUAGGACAUAGUGAUCCGGUGGUUCCGCAUGGAAGGGCCAUCGCUCAAAGGAUAAAAGGUACUCCGGGGAUAACAGGCUGAUCGCUCCCAAGAGCUCAUAUCGACGGAGCGGUUUGGCACCUCGAUGUCGGCUCGUCACAUCCUGGGGCUGGAGAAGGUCCCAAGGGUUGGGCUGUUCGCCCAUUAAAGUGGCACGCGAGCUGGGUUCAGAACGUCGUGAGACAGUUCGGUCCCUAUCUGUUGUGGGCGUAGGAUAUUUGAGAAGACCUGUCAUUAGUACGAGAGGACCGUGACGGACUCACCUCUGGUGUACCAGUUGUUCCGCCAGGAGCACUGCUGGGUAGCUACGUGGGGAAGGGAUAAGUGCUGAAAGCAUCUAAGCACGAAGCCUGCUUCAAGAUGAGAUAUCCUUAUCAGGGACGUUGUAGACUACGACGUUGAUAGGCUGCAGGUGUAAAGAUGGUAACAUCAAAGCCGAGCAGUACUAAUUGCCCGAAACUUUUAGU